AGCGAACGCUGGCGGCAGGCCUAAUACAUGCAAGUCGAACGGAUCCUUCGGGAUUAGUGGCGGACGGGUGAGUAACACGUGGGAACGUGCCCUUUGGUUCGGAACAACUCAGGGAAACUUGAGCUAAUACCGGAUAAGCCCUUCGGGGAAGGAUUAUCGCCAUUGGAGCGGCCCGCGUCUGAUUAGCUAGUUGGUGGGGUAAAGGCCGUACCAAGGCGACGAUCAGUAGCUGGUCUGAGAGGAUGAUCAGCCACACUGGGACUGAGACACGGCCCAGACUCCUACGGGAGGCAGCAGUAGGGAAUCUUGCGCAAUGGGCGAAAGCCUGACGCAGCCAUGCCGCGUGAAUGAUGAAGGUCUUAGGAUU
RNAcentral lists this ribosomal RNA (367 nucleotides) under uncultured bacterium. Its description in RNAcentral is "bacterial SSU rRNA". It matches the Rfam family "Bacterial small subunit ribosomal RNA", at positions 29 to 424 of the family's 1533-position model. The record is from RNAcentral.